Molecule: long non-coding RNA, 380 nt
Filed under: Marmota monax (woodchuck)
Lineage: Eukaryota; Metazoa; Chordata; Mammalia; Rodentia; Sciuridae
Source: RNAcentral
ACUGCUCUCUUUGGGCCUUCAUUUCCUUGUCACAAAAGUGCCACUAUUUUUGUGAGGAGUAAAUGAAAGACUGUGGGCUACACCCUUGGCAGAGACACGGCGGUGCUGCUGUGCUUAGCUGUGCUUUGAAGCCUCUCGCAGUCACCAGAGGCCAUGAGCCUUGGGUCACGUUCUAUUGCAUUCCUUAAAAGUGUUCGGUGCCACUAGAGUCUGGGGAUGACAGAGGUGGGAGGGGGGAAAACCAGCCCUUCUGGUACCUUGGAGUUGCCAACCCUUGUUUAAUCCUGACAAGCUCCUGCAAGAACAGAAUUCAUCAUUAUUUAACUGUUAAAGAAGGGACCUAACCCUCUAUGAGGCUGAGCAGCCUGAGGGGACAUGCC